RNAcentral lists this ribosomal RNA (253 nucleotides) under uncultured bacterium. RNAcentral describes it as "partial 16S ribosomal RNA". It matches the Rfam family "Bacterial small subunit ribosomal RNA", at positions 524 to 776 of the family's 1533-position model. The record is from RNAcentral.
UACGAAGGGGGCUAGCGUUGUCCGGAUUUACUGGGCGUAAAGCGCACGUAGGCGGUUCGAUCAGUCUGGGGUGAAAUCCCAGAGCUCAACUCUGGAACUGCCUUUGAUACUGUCGAUCUGGAGUAUGGAAGAGGUGAGUGGAAUUCCGAGUGUAGAGGUGAAAUUCGUAGAUAUUCGGAGGAACACCAGUGGCGAAGGCGGCUCACUGGUCCAUUACUGACGCUGAGGUGCGAAAGCGUGGGGAGCAAACAGG